This 807-nucleotide long non-coding RNA is filed under the name Triticum aestivum (bread wheat). RNAcentral's name for it is "long non-coding RNA (TAES_LNC023785)". The record is from RNAcentral. Lineage: Eukaryota; Viridiplantae; Streptophyta; Magnoliopsida; Poales; Poaceae.
UGCCGGGGAGCUCGUCGCCCACGACGCCCAGGGCUCUCUGCAGGUCGCCGGAUCCGCCGCCUCCCCACUGGACGCCGGACGCCGUCUCCACUCUCCAGUCUCCAGAGUCCCAGUCCAGAGCAGUUCGAACUUCGAAGUAGGUUGUCUGCAGUCUCUCUCUGACUCUGUUUGAUUCUUCUUAGUUUAGUUGAUAGCAGUUGCUAGUUUAGUUAAUUCUAGUCAGUACCUAGUUUGGUUCUAGUCAGUACUAGUUCUAGUAACAAUUAAUUCAUGAACUAAUUUAUGUCCUUGUUUAUUUUUUUUAGAAAUGAAGAGAAAGAGGACCCUGCAUAGUUGGUUUGCAAGUAGUUCAAAUACACUUCCUAUAGUUUCAAAAUUUGGUUCAAAAUUUGAUAAUUUCUAAAAAAUCAAGAAAAAUUCUGGUAUAUAGUACGUGUUUCCAGGGAAAGUUUCAGUUUAUUUGUACAAAAGGACUAGGAGAUAAGCAUCUUUUUCUUCAAAAGAGCGUUCGAUUUUCUCGGCUUAAACUUUGAGCCCACCCUCCAUUUUUUCUCUAGAUUCGCCACUGGUAGGGUGUGCGUGUGUGUGUUCAUAGGGGUGAGUGUAUGCGCAUGUAUAUGAGCGCUUGUGUCUGUAUUGAUGCUCAAAAAAAGUGAUGGGAGGUUAAUUCUAAAGUAUAUAUGUUAAGCUCCAAUAUAUUACGCUCAUCAAAUCCUUGAAGUAUACUUUAUUCUCCUAUCAUCACUUGUUGAAUUCCUUUCUCUUACUUUUUACGCCACCUCCUCCCAAUCCUUUUAAGUAUCCAUG